Molecule: microRNA precursor, 170 nt
Filed under: Podarcis lilfordi (Lilford's wall lizard)
Lineage: Eukaryota; Metazoa; Chordata; Lepidosauria; Squamata; Lacertidae
Source: RNAcentral
AAGAGCCGCUGAGUGGGGAGGAGAGAGGGACAGAGAGCCUGCUUCUUUAAAGGAGCAAAGCGGGAGAGGAGAGGAGCUGCUUACACGAGUGUAAGCGGCUCCUGUCCGGUUGGCUCCUUUAAAGCAAGCAGGCUCUCUGUCCCUCUCUCCUCCCCACUCAGCUCGCUACA